UAAUUUUGUCCCAAGUCAAACUUCUCUAACUUUGAAAAAAGUCUGUAGAAAAAUAUAUUAACAUCUACAAUACCAAAUAAAUGCACUAUCAAGACAUAUUUCAUGUUGGAUUUAAUGAAACUAAUUUGUUGUUGAUCUUGGUGCACUUUUCUAUAAACUUGGUCAAAGUUAGAGAAGUUUGACUUAGGACAAAACUAA
This is a microRNA precursor of Sorghum bicolor (sorghum), 198 nucleotides long. It matches the Rfam family "MIR1435 microRNA precursor family". Lineage: Eukaryota; Viridiplantae; Streptophyta; Magnoliopsida; Poales; Poaceae. The record is from Rfam.